UUGAAUGCUUCUCCUUUCCCUCUUCUGAUUAAGGAAAAUAUUACUCAUUUCUUGGGCAACAACCUGCAGAUGGAGGAACAGAUCGAGGAACUUAAAUGGCAACGAGAUGUAGCUCAAUCUAGGGUAGAUAAUUUGCUUAAAUCAACAGCGGAAGAGAUAUCAUCUUCAAGUUCAAUGGAUAACAGCAGAAGAAGAAGAAGUUACGAUUCAACAGAUUUUGACGAGCCUCGUAUGCUAAAAAACUUGGGGAAGAGUAACUUGUACUCUCCUGAUGAGGAUGGUUUCCUGCUAGAUGAUACUACCCCUCAAUUUCCGGAGCAUGACCUACAAGAUAAGUGGGAGGAGAUGGCUCAACACACCACCCAAGAACCAGAAGAUGCUUGCAAAGAAGUUAGAUGCAUUGAAGUGAACAAUGGAGAAGCAGAAAGAGUUCAAAUUCAAGACUCAAUAUGCGACACUGUUGAAAAGAAAGAAUAUGAACAAAACUACAAAUCCUUUAUACCCGAUGAGUCCGAAAUGGAAUAUGCUGAUUCUUCUUUAAAAAAGAUAGAUAUGGAGUUGAGUUUAUAUGCUAAACUUGAAGCUGAAGAUGAGCCAGUAAUUAAGAAGCUGCUAGAAGACGACCAAGAGACUGACCAGUCUCUGGAGAAACUAAAGCAAUCUUCAGUGAAAGAAGACAUGAAACAGUAUUCGUGUAGGGAUGAUAAGUCAGAGCAGGUAACAACAUCACCCGCUGAGGAAGAGAAAUGUGUACAAGUCCAUGAAGGCUCUGACAAACUUGAAGCCAAGGAUGAGAUAACUAUGAACAUAUUAGAAGAAUUCCACGAGACUCCGCAACCUGUGGACAAGGAAGACCACAAAAUUAGUUGGACUUCAAAGAAAGAAGACAUAGAACAGAAUUUCUCUAUGGAUCAGUCAGAGCAAUUAAAUAAAUCACCCUCUGCUGAAGAGAAAUGUGUAGAAGUGUAUGGAGGCUCUGAUAAAGAUGAUAACACAUAUGAGGCUUUGAAGAAAAAGGUGAAGGAAAUGCAGAAGACAAUUGAAUACUUCAUGAGCAUGCAAGCAGAAGAGAAACAAUCUCCUUCUUUUAAUAGGAUAGAUGACUAUAUGAGUCCAGGAGAUUACUUCAAGAUGAGAAGAAGUCGAAGCUGCAGAGAAAAUCUCUUGUUUACAAAGGCAUCUGUUGCUGCUGUUGCUGCUGCUGCUAGUGGAGGCUUCAUAUUC
This 1224-nucleotide long non-coding RNA is filed under the name Capsella grandiflora. Its description in RNAcentral is "long non-coding RNA (CGRA_LNC000161)". The record is from RNAcentral. Lineage: Eukaryota; Viridiplantae; Streptophyta; Magnoliopsida; Brassicales; Brassicaceae.